RNAcentral lists this ribosomal RNA (253 nucleotides) under uncultured bacterium. RNAcentral's name for it is "partial 16S ribosomal RNA". It matches the Rfam family "Bacterial small subunit ribosomal RNA", at positions 524 to 776 of the family's 1533-position model. The record is from RNAcentral.
UACGGAGGGUGCAAGCGUUAUCCGGAUUCACUGGGUUUAAAGGGUGUGUAGGCGGAUAUUUAAGUCAGAGGUGAAAUCUCCAGGCUCAACCUGGAAACUGCCUUUGAUACUAUUUAUCUUGAAUUUUGUUGAGGUAGGCGGAAUAUAUCAUGUAGCGGUGAAAUGCAUAGAUAUGAUAUAGAACACCGAUUGCGAAGGCAGCUUACUAAGCAAACAUUGACGCUGAGGCACGAAAGCGUGGGGAUCAAACAGG